GACGAACGCUGGCGGCGUGCUUAACACAUGCAAGUCGAACGGAAAGGCCCUGCUUUUGUGGGGUGCUCGAGUGGCGAACGGGUGAGUAACACGUGAGUAACCUGCCCUUGACUUUGGGAUAACUUCAGGAAACUGGGGCUAAUACCGGAUAGGAGCUCCUGCUGCAUGGAGGGGGUUGGAACGUUUCGGCGGUCGGGGAUGGACUCGCGGCUUAUCAGCUUGUUGGUGGGGGAGUGGCUUACCAAGGCUUUGACGGGUACCCGGCCUGGGAGGGUGACCGGCCACAUUGGGACUGAGAUACGGCCCAGACUCCUACGUGAGGCAGCAGUGGGGAAUAUUGCACAGUGGGCGGAAGCCUGAUGCAGCAACGCCGCGUUCGGGAUGACGGCCUUCGGGUUGUAAACCGCUUUCGCCUGUGACGAAGCGUGAGUGACGGUAAUGGGUAAAGAAGCACCGGCUAACUACGUG
This 468-nucleotide ribosomal RNA is filed under the name uncultured bacterium. RNAcentral's name for it is "partial 16S ribosomal RNA". It matches the Rfam family "Bacterial small subunit ribosomal RNA", at positions 28 to 507 of the family's 1533-position model. The record is from RNAcentral.